AUGUGCAGCAAGCACCGAGAUGAGCUCUGGGGGAAGCUCCAGUCAGUUAUAGAUCCAGAAUAUUGUGAAAAUGCAUCACAGGAUGAUCACUUGGUAGAUGAGAUAACGUUCAGCCGCCAGCCUGACACCUUCCUUUUACCAAGGGUGCAUAAUAUGUUUGAAUCCUUGCUGCUUUCACCAUCUGUUGGAAUACAGGCAGAGCCCUUCGCUGAAAUGCGACAAAGGAAAUGCAGAGAAGGAUCUGAGAUCCUUGAGAUCACCAGGGAGAAGCUGAGGAUGUUGCCUCAAGAUACACUUAGCACUGAGUUUCAGGAGCGCUGUUCCGAAAUAGAGGAAUUGUGGCUUAAGUUUCUCGAAGUUACUGUUGUGGACUAUCGUGAAAUCAUUCUUCCCCUUGCGAGAUCAUACCAAUGGAUAGAAUUGAAGAAACGGGUUCCUUUUUAUCUAAAUCAUCCUGGUAGUAGGCGUAUCGGAUUUGCUGAUGCCAACAUUGAUAUUAUAUGCGGU
This 507-nucleotide ribosomal RNA is filed under the name Triticum aestivum (bread wheat). Its description in RNAcentral is "partial small subunit ribosomal RNA". The record is from RNAcentral. Lineage: Eukaryota; Viridiplantae; Streptophyta; Magnoliopsida; Poales; Poaceae.